GGGUGACUGGCACGGAACUCUCAGGAAUGAACAGGGGGUGGUUACAAGACUGACAUGGGAAUGCUCCAGUGAUGAAUGAGGAACAGACACCAACCUCAACUUCUACCUCGAUGAACUGAAAUGUGUGAGGAUCAGUGCAAUGAAUGGAGAUUAACUGCUAGAGACACUGUAAGAGAGGACUGGAGGAAUUGUUUUUGCUUGACCUCAGUUGCCUACUCAGGGUAGAAUCUGGUGCUUUCAUCAAGCCUUGGCCCUUGGGAGUCCAGUUGUGACAGGGGACUAUGUGCAGCCUGGCAGAGCAGAGAGGAAGAGCAGUCUUCUAAAACCUGAGCACCCCUUGUUGUGACACAAAUCCUUGGAAGCAGCAUGCACAGCCUGAAGAAAGCAGCAGUUCCAGUGCCUGGCUCUUCAUAACCCAAGUCUGAAGCCUCAGAGAGAAGCAUGGGGAAUGCUUACUGAGACUGCCCAGGAAGGCCAGGUGGUCCUUACAGGAAGACAGGAGACGUGUGGGUCUUAGCACAUCUCAAGAUCAGGGCACCUUGUCCUGUGUCAAAGCAGGGAGGAAGGGGCUGUCACUGCAGGCCUCGGACUUUCUGACUUUUGCAGCCCUGGAUCUUCUUCAGUUCAAUGAUUUUCUCCCAAGAGUUUCCUAGCCCCUCUGAGCCACAAUGGAUCCUCUCCAGCCUCCUCUUGUGGUACUUCCUUGAUCUGCAUCCCCUUGGAGAAAAACAGCCAGGAGGAGAUGUCCAAGAGGCAACUGCUGAGAGUUUACAGGGAACUUCAGCAUGUAGCAGUACUUGGAGAUGUGCACAAACAUGCUUGCAGACUGAAAACGCUUGUCUCAACUUAAUUUGUCGUCGUAUUUCGGGAGAUUUAGUGGGACUGGAGCAUAGGCAUUUCACCGAGCUUGGAAUUAUCCUGACCCAGCAAAAAGCAAGCUCGCACUCCCUUUGUGUGCAAAACUUUCCUGCGGCUGCUGAGAACAAACGCUGGCAGUAGCUGCAGGACCUGGACAAACGCGCGCUCCCGCUGCUCCUGUCCCCGCCUGCCGAGCAAUGGAGGAGCCUGUGGGGCACAUCAAGGCUGCUCAACCGCGGGCGUGCCCCUCGAAGCGCACGAGAAAAAU
This is a long non-coding RNA of Vidua macroura (Pin-tailed whydah), 1126 nucleotides long. RefSeq lists it as uncharacterized. NCBI's taxonomy places the organism in Eukaryota, Metazoa, Chordata, Aves, Passeriformes, Viduidae. The record is from RefSeq and is a predicted model, not a curated record. The transcript has 6 exons.